AUAUUGCUGACGACGGCGCAGGGUGAGUACGCGUAUGCACCUACCUUUGACUGGAGAAGAGCGCGAAGAAAUUCGGAUUAAUGCUCCAUGAGACCACAAUACCGCAUGAUAUAGUGGUAAAAGCUCCGGCGGUCAAAGAUGGGCAUGCGUGCCAUUAGUUAGUUGGUGAGGUUACGGCUCACCAAGACAACGAUGGCUAGGGGGUCUGAGAGGAUGAUCCCCCACACUGGUACUGAGACACGGACCAGACGCCUACGGGAGGCAGCAGGGAGGAAUAUUGGUCAAUGGACGCAAGUCUGAACCAGCCAUGCCGCGUGCAGGAUGAAUGCCCUAUGGGUUGUAAACUGCUUUUCUACAAGAAGAAACUUCCUGAUGUAUCAGGAACUGACGGUAUUGUAGGAAUAAGCAUCGGCUAACUCCGUGCCAGCAGCCGCGGUAAUACGGAGGAUGCAAGCGUUAUCCGGAUUCAUUGGGUUUAAAGGGUGCGUAGGCGGGGUAGUAAGUCAGUGGUGAAAGCCUGCGGCUUAACCGUAGAAUUGCCAUUGAUACUGCUAUUCUUGAGUGCACUUGAGGUAGGCGGAAUUGUGUAAUGUAGCGGUGAAAAUGCUUAGAUAUUACACAGAACACCGAUUGCGUAGGCAGCUUACUAAACUGUAACUGACGCUGAGGCACGAAAGCGUGGGGAGCGAACAGGAUUAGAUACCCUGGUAGUCCACGCUGUAAACUAUGAUCACUCGCUGUUGGCGAUACAUUGUCAGCGGCUGAGCGAAAGCAUUAAGUGAUCCACCUGGGGAGUACGGCCGCAAGGUUGAAACUCAAAGGAAUUGACGGGGGCCCGCACAAGCGGUGGAACAUGUGGUUUAAUUCGAUGAUACGCGAGGAACCUUACCUGGGCUUAAAUGCAGAACGACGUACCGGGAAACUGGUACUCCCUUCGGGGCGGACUGCAAGGUGCUGCAUGGUUGUCGUCAGCUCGUGCCGUGAGGUGUCGGGUUAAGUCCCAUAACGAGCGCAACCCUCAUUGUUAGUUGCCAGCGAGUAAUGUCGGGGACUCUAACGAAACUGCCGGUGUAAACCGUGAGGAAGGUGGGGAUGACGUCAAAUCAGCACGGCCCUUAUGUCCAGGGCUACACACGUGUUACAAUGGCCAGUACAAAGGGCAGCUACCACGCGAGUGGAUGUAAUCUCUAAAGCUGGUCUCAGUUCGGAUUGAAGUCUGCAACUCGACUUCAUGAAGCUGGAAUCG
This 1246-nucleotide ribosomal RNA is filed under the name uncultured organism. RNAcentral's name for it is "bacterial SSU rRNA". It matches the Rfam family "Bacterial small subunit ribosomal RNA", at positions 83 to 1334 of the family's 1533-position model. The record is from RNAcentral.